AAGAACCAGCCCUACUGGGCACAUAUAAAUGAGUGAAGACAUGGAACUCACCCUUACAAGGCCUAGGACCUGACAGAGCACACAAGACAGAAGCCCAAAUAACCAGGAACAGGAAGCUGAAGGUCCCCUUCUAGAUACCCCAUGGGAAAUACACUCAGUUGCUGCCUAGGCCCCAGCGCUGGCCUCUGUUGUGCCUGCUGCAGGCAGAAGGUGGCACCUUGCUGUGAAUCCAAGACUGAGUCUGUGGCAGCUGCAGCACCAGUAUCCACCACUGCAGAGCCUGCCACCAACACAAAGAGGCGCAAAGGUUUGGCUGGCCGUGCAAAGAGCUGGGCAAAAAAAAAAAUGGAAGCAUAAGAACAUUUGCCCAGUUGAAAGUGAAG
Cebus imitator (Panamanian white-faced capuchin) is the source of this 383-nucleotide long non-coding RNA. RefSeq lists it as uncharacterized. NCBI's taxonomy places the organism in Eukaryota, Metazoa, Chordata, Mammalia, Primates, Cebidae. The transcript has 3 exons. The record is from RefSeq and is a predicted model, not a curated record.